AUUGAACGCUGGCGGCAUGCUUUACACAUGCAAGUCGAACGGUAACAGGCCGCAAGGUGCUGACGAGUGGCGAACGGGUGCGUAAUGCAUCGGAACGUGCCCAGUCGUGGGGGAUAACUACUCGAAAGAGUAGCUAAUACCGCAUACGAUCUAUGGAUGAAAGCGGGGGACCGUAAGGCCUCGCGCGAUUGGAGCGGCCGAUGUCAGAUUAGGUAGUUGGUGGGGUAAAGGCUCACCAAGCCAACGAUCUGUAGCUGGUCUGAGAGGACAACCAGCCACACUGGGACUGAGACACGGCCCAGACUCCUACGGGAGGCAGCAGUGGGGAAUUUUGGACAAUGGGCGAAAGCCUGAUCCAGCAAUGCCGCGUGCAGGAAGAAGGCCUUCGGGUUGUAAACUGCUUUUGUACGGAACGAAACGGCUCUGGUUAAUACCCGGGGCUAAUGACGGUACCGUAAGAAUAAGCACCGGCUAACUACGUG
Molecule: ribosomal RNA, 482 nt
Filed under: uncultured bacterium
Lineage: Bacteria
Description: partial 16S ribosomal RNA
Rfam family: Bacterial small subunit ribosomal RNA
Source: RNAcentral